GCCUGGUAGCAAUACUGGGUGAGUAAAGUGGCGCCCGGGUGAGUAACACGUGGAUAACCUACCCUAGAGCGGGGAAUAACCCUGGGAAACCGGGGCUAAUACCGCAUAACACCUGGCGACUGCGGUCGCUGGGUUGAAACCUCGCAAGGGGGCUCAAGGAGGGGUCCGCGCCCGAUUAGCUAGUUGGCGGGGUAACGGCCCACCAAGGCUGUGAUCGGUAGCUGGUCUGAGAGGACGAUCAGCCACACUGGGACUGAGAUACGGCCCAGACUCCUACGGGAGGCAGCAGCAGGGAAUUUUGCGCAAUGGGCGAAAGCCUGACGCAGCAACGCCGCGUGGGGGAUGAAGGCCUUCGGGUUGUAAACCCCUUUCAGGAGGAACGAAAUUGACGGUACCUCCAGAAGAAGCCCCGACCAACUACGUGCCAGCAGCCGCGGUAAUACGUAGGGUGCGAGCGUUAAUCGGAAUUACUGGGCGUAAAGCGUGCGCAGGCGGCGGCUCAAGUCAGGUGUGAAAUCCCCGGGCUUAACCUGGGAAUUGCGCUUGAAACUAGGCUGCUUGAGUGUGGCAGAGGGGGGUGGAAUUCCACGUGUAGCAGUGAAAUGCGUAGAGAUGUGGAGGAACACCGAUGGCGAAGGCA
RNAcentral lists this ribosomal RNA (640 nucleotides) under uncultured bacterium. RNAcentral's name for it is "bacterial SSU rRNA". It matches the Rfam family "Bacterial small subunit ribosomal RNA", at positions 71 to 723 of the family's 1533-position model. The record is from RNAcentral.